GAUGAACGCUGGCGGCGUGCCUAAUACAUGCAAGUCGAACGAAACUUCUUUAUCACCGAGUGCUUGCACUCACCGAUAAAGAGUUGAGUGGCGAACGGGUGAGUAACACGUUGGCAACCUGCCCAAAAGAGGGGGAUAACACUUGGAAACAGGUGCUAAUACCGCAUAACCAUAGUUACCGCAUGGUAACUAUGUAAAAGGUGGCUAUACUACCGCUUUUGGAUGGGCCCGCGGCGCAUUAGCUAGUUGGUAGGGUAAAGGCUUACCAAGGCAAUGAUGCGUAGCCGAAUUGAGAGGUUGAUCGGCCACAUUGGGACUGAGACACGGCCCAAACUCCUACGGGAGGCAGCAGUAGGGAAUCUUCCACAAUGGGCGAAAGCCUGAUGGAGCAACGCCGCGUGGGUGAAGAAGGUCUUCGGAUCGUAAAACCCUGUUGUUAGAGAAGAAAGUGAGUGAGAGUAACUGUUCACGUUUCGACGGUAUCUAACCAGAAAGCCACGGCUAACUACGUG
RNAcentral lists this ribosomal RNA (512 nucleotides) under uncultured bacterium. RNAcentral's name for it is "partial 16S ribosomal RNA". It matches the Rfam family "Bacterial small subunit ribosomal RNA", at positions 28 to 507 of the family's 1533-position model. The record is from RNAcentral.